Molecule: ribosomal RNA, 183 nt
Filed under: uncultured Bacillota bacterium
Lineage: Bacteria; Bacillati; Bacillota
Description: uncultured Firmicutes bacterium partial 16S ribosomal RNA
Rfam family: Bacterial small subunit ribosomal RNA
Source: RNAcentral
GAGGCAGCAGUAGGGAAUCUUCCGCAAUGGACGAAAGUCUGACGGAGCGACGCCGCGUGAGCGAAGAAGGUCUUCGGAUCGUAAAGCUCUGUUGUUAGGGAAGAAGAAGUACCGUUCGAAUAGGGCGGUACGGUGACGGUACCUAACGAGAAAGCCCCGGCUAACUACGUGCCAGCAGCCGCG